Molecule: long non-coding RNA, 2071 nt
Filed under: Homo sapiens (human)
Lineage: Eukaryota; Metazoa; Chordata; Mammalia; Primates; Hominidae
Description: HSALNT0343197
Source: RNAcentral
GCUGACUCUCUUUUUGGAUUUAGCCAGCCUGCACCCAGGUGAUUGAAAGCCUUAUUGCUCACACAAAGCCUGUUUGGUGGUCUCUUCACAUCGACGCUCAUGAAAUUUGGUGCCAAAACCGGGGAUUGGGGGACCUCCCUUAGGAGAUCAAUCCCUUAUCCUUCCUCCUGCUCUUUGCUCCAUGAGAAAGAUCCACCUAUGACCUCUGGUCCUCAGACCCACCAGCCCAAGGAACAUCUCACCAAUUUCAAAUCCGUCCUGAGGAAGAUUGACAUUUGCCACACCUGCAUAAAGAACCCACUUGGUGAAAACCCAAGUUUUCUUGGAGUCUGCUGCUGUGAGACACGAGGAAAAAACAGUACAUGUGUACACGGUAGAUCUGGAAGGGAAAGCAGAAAGUAUCCAACACUUCUUGCAUGAAGAAAACAAAAUGUGGAUCCUUCUUACUCCACGUUGAAUGAAAGCAGAAGUUUGAUUAUACAGUUGUUUCCUCAGUAUCCACAACGGAUUUGUUCCAGGAGUCUGAAUAUCUGUGGGCUCCCUAUCCCACGAAUACUCUAUUUUCAAUCUGCAAUGGGUUGAAUCCAUGUAUACGGAAUCCACAGAUAGGGAAGGCUGAUUAUAUAUGUAUUAAAAUAUCAUAGUGGUUGUGACUACUCUGUAAGGGCAUUUUGGAAUCCUGCACAAAAUUUAGUUUACAUGUGGAGACCGAUGUUAUGACACACACAAUCCAAGAGGUUAUGUAAAGGUUUAUUACAUACGUAAUUGAGGCUUUCUGCGAAAAACCAUUCAGUCCUCCCAAUGUGAUCAAAAAUGUCUUGUGAGAGCAAAGAAAGGAUACUGGCUUGGGCUUUUAUUGUGGGUAUGAGGUGGAAGGAUUCCUGGAUGUAGGGAGGGAUUUACAGGGCUUAAAUCUCCUGCUGCCUGGCAACAAAGGAGGCAGCACCUAGGCUUUCUUACGAGCUUACCCAGAGGUGAGGCAGAAGAGGAAGAAGGAAAGAUGAGGCUCAAAGGCUGCCAGCAAUCAAAUAUCAAAAAAAAAGACUACCAAACAAUCCACUGCAGAGUAAUGCUAAAUUAACUCUGAUUAUUAGAAAAUAUAUAAAGUAGAGUUAUUGCAUGCAUAGGCUAAUAAUUUUCAUCAAAUUUUGGAACAUUUUAGUCAUUUAAAUAAAUAUUUUGCCCCACCUAUUUUUCUAUCUUCUCCUUUUGGUUUCCCAUUGCACAUAUGUUGGUGCACUUGAAGUCUUUUUACAGGUCUUUGAGUCUCAGUUCAUCUUUCUCCAUUCUUGUUUUCUCAAGAGCUGGGAAAGUACCUCAGGCAGUAAGCUGGGACAAAUGUAAGACCUUCAUGUUUUGUUCUCUUCCCCUUCAGAAUUUACAUAUUACCCAAUCACAGAAAAUUACCAUUGCAUCAUUUCAUGUGUAGUUUCUAAUGCUUGGGUUCAUUUAAAAUUAUGUGAAUAUUCUGUAUUUACAUCCCUGUUUCCCUUUUUCAAAAACAAAAUAGCUAUAUGAUUUGACUACAAUUUUUUAAAAUCUUAAAUUUCAGCUGUUUUUAGCAAAAAGAAAAUAGUUGCAUUCUCUGCCCUUAAAACAGCAUAUCACACAACAUAAAAUAAAUAAAGAUUUUAUGCACUUUAAGUAAAUUUUUUGACUAUUUCCUUUAUGGAAAAUUAAGGGUAUGCAUAUUAUAUAAACACGAAAUAGGCACCUGUAAAAUAGGUCAAUUAAUAUUUCAUUUUUAGCUUUUCAAGUGAAAAACACACAUAAAGAAUAACUGAUGCAAAUAAUAAGGUUUUUUGGUUUUUUUUUUACUAAUGACUUGUGAUCCUGUGGCUUCAUUGACUUUCCUACAAUCUAAUGUUACCACAUAACCUGCCUACCAUCAUAAUGUUGGUAAUAAUUACAUCCCUUUGGAUUUCCUUACAAUGCUUUCAUAUGGCUGGUCUUUUAUUAUUAUUUCUUGCUGAACCUUUUCUUUUCCUUAGCAUUUAAAAUUCCUCUUUCUUUAUUUAAUGUUACUGAAGCUUACAAGCAAAAAUAUCACUUGCUUUGAAAAUAGCCUUUU